RNAcentral lists this ribosomal RNA (3042 nucleotides) under Caulerpa manorensis. RNAcentral's name for it is "LSU rRNA". It matches the Rfam family "Bacterial large subunit ribosomal RNA". Lineage: Eukaryota; Viridiplantae; Chlorophyta; Ulvophyceae; Bryopsidales; Caulerpaceae. The record is from RNAcentral.
AAAAAAAACCACUGCUUUUGGUGGAUACCUAAGGACUCAAAGAUGAUGAAGGGCGUGUUAACCUGCGAAAAUUUUUGGUUAGUUGGAAAAAAACUUUAAUCCAAAAGUUCCCCAAUGGAGCAAUCCUUAAAACUACUGAAAAAAUUCAUAAAUCGGUAAGAAAAAACUUAGUGAACUGAAACAUCUUAUUAACUAAAGGAAAAGAAAGCAAACGCAAUUUCCGAAGUAGCGGCGAGCGAAAUGGAAAAAGUCUAAACUGAGCAAAUCAGGGUAGUGGGACUUUAAUGAAGAUAACAAAUAAAAAAUAAAAAACAGCUGAAACCUGUACCAAAGAUGGUGAAAGUCCAGUUUUAUUUUUUUUUUUACUUAUCUGAAGUAUCCCAAGUAGCUUGGGGCACGUGGAAUCCCUUGUGAAUCAGCGAGGACCACCUCGUAAGACUAAAUACUCUUGAGUCACUGAUAGCGAAAAGUACCGUGAGGGAAAGGUGAAAGAGACCCCCUGUCGGGGAGUGAAAUAGAUCAUGAAACCUGAAGCAAUCAAUCUGUGGGAGGAAAUAUCUGACCACAUGCCUGUUGAAGAAUGAGCCGGCGACUCAUGAUUUUUGGCUUGGUUAAAGAAAAUUUCUGUAGCCUGAGUGAAAACAAGUCUGAAAAAGGCGAAAAGUCAAAAAUUAUGGACCCGAACCCGAGUGAUCUAACCAUGACCAGGAAGAAUCUUGGGUAAAACUAAGUGGAUGUCCGAACCGACCGAUGUUGAAAAAUCGACGGAUGAGUUGUGGUUAGAGGUGAAAUGCUAAUCGAACUCGGAGCUAGCUGGUUCUCCCCGAAAUGCGUUGUGGCGCAGCAUUUAUAGAUGUCCUAUACCUGAAUAGGUAGAGCACUGUUUCGAUGCGGGCCAGUCAAAAGGUACCAAAUUGUGGCAAACUCCAAAUUAUUCAGAUUUAUACCUAUAAAAAGUGAGACUUUGGGGGAUAAGCUCCAGGGUCAAGAGGGAAACAGCCCAGACCAUCAGUUAAGGCCCCUAAAUAAUAGCUAAGUGUUAAAGGAAGUUUCCAUGCUGAAACAACCAGAAGGUUCGCUUAGAAGCAGCUAUCCUUGAAAGAAUGCGUAAUAGCUCACUGGUUAUUUCUGUUGAAGAAUAAGCGUGGAUGCGCCGAAAAUGUCCGGGACUAAGUUAUUUGCCGAAACUGUGGCCUCCGCGUGUCGCGCGGAGAGGUAGGGGAGCGUUCUGUUAUGAGGUGAAGGAUUUUUGAAAAAAAAUGAUAGAUCGAACAGAAGUGAGAAUGUCGGCUUGAGUAACGAAAACAUUAGUGAGAAUCUAAUGCCCCGAAAGCCUAAGGUUUCCUCUUCAAGGCUCGUCCAGAGAGGGUUAGUCAGGACCUAAGAUUAGGCUGAAAAGCGUCAUCGAUGGAAAACAGGUCAAUAUUCCUGUACUUAUUUUUAUUUUGAGACAAGGGACGAAGGCAACAAGUUCAAGCUCUUCAAAUGGUUCAGAGUGGAAAUGUUCAACAUAUGGUUCGAAAAAAAAAACGAACUUGGACGGCUAGCUUGCUAACCGCGUCAGUAUGAAGACAUGAUACGUUAUUUGAUAAAUUUAUUUAUUAAAUAAUUUGAAUUUUGUUAUACUUCCUAGAAAAGCUUGAGACUCUAUAUAAUAAAAAUAACCUGUACCGUAAACCGACACAGGUAGGUAAGUUGAGUAAACUCAGGGGCGCGAGAUAACUCUCUCUAAGGAACUCGGCAAAAUAGCCCCGUAACUUCGGGAGAAGGGGUGUAUUUGUCUUUCCCUGAAAGACAAAUACCGCAGUGAACAAAUUCAUUGAACUUUUUAACAAAAAAAUAGGUCUCCGCAAAGUCGUAAGACAACGUAUGGGGGCUGACGCCUGCCCAGUGCCGGAAGGUUAAAGGAAUUGGUGAAAGCUGAUAACUGAAGCCCCGGUGAACGGCGGCCGUAACUCUAAAAUAACCGUUGGAGUUGUAAGAUCUUUCUAGUGAUAGAAAGGAAUUCCAAAUAUUGAGAAUUCGCUUAAAAAUAUUCUUUUUAAGUUAACAAUAAAGGACGGUUAAGGCUCUACAAAAGGGCCGUCAAUAAACUUUAUAUAAAAUAAAUUUAUAUUUAUAUAAAGAAAAAGCCUAAGGUAGAACCGCUGCCUUACUUGACCGUGAGGUCAAUACCAGGUCCUAUUUGAGAAAAUAGGAAGUCAAAUUUGUCCCCCCGUUACUUAUACGGGCCUCACGUACCCAGGACUCAUUUGGCAAAACAUUAUACAAGCGAAAUUCCUUGUCAAGUAAGUUUUGACCCGCACGAAAGGCGCAAUCAAAUGAAUACUGUCUCAGAGAGAGACUCGGUGAAAUAGACAUAUCCGUGAAGAUGCGGAUUUCCUUACAUCAGUACAAGAAGACCCCGUGAAGCUUGACUGUAUCUUGAUAUUGGUUUCCAGUUAUUUUUGUGCAGUCUAGGUGGGACCUAAAAGGUAACGGAGGUUUGCAAAGGUUUCCUCAAACUGGACGGAAAUCAGUUGUUGAGUGUAAAGGCAAAAGGAAGCUUGACUGCAAGACUUAUAAGUCGAGCAGAGGCGAAAGCCGGCCUUAAUGAUCCGACGGUAACCAAGUGGAAGGGCCGUCGCGCAAAAGAUAAAAGUUACUCCGGGGAAACAGGCUUAUCUUCCCCAAGAGUUCAUAUCGACGGGAAGGUUUGGCACCUUAAUUUAGGCGAUGUUGACUUUUCGCAACCUGGGGCGGUAGUAUGUCCCAAGGGUUGGGCUGUUCGCCCAUUAAAGCGGUACAUGAGUUGAGUGAAGUUCUGAGCUCAACUGUCAUAGAGACAGUUUGGUCUAUAUACGAUGUAAGCGUUAGAAUAUUGAGAGGACUUUUCCAUAAUACGAGAGGACUUGGAAGAACGUACCCCUGGUGUACCAGUUCUUAUACCAAUAGGACGCGCUGGGUAGCUAUGUACGGAAAAGAGAACUGCUGAAAGCAUCUAAGUAGGAAACUUACCUCAAGAUAAUUAUUCUCCAUUAGACUCCGGUUAGAUAAACCGGU